UACGGAGGGAGCUAGCGUUGUUCGGAAUUACUGGGCGUAAAGCGCACGUAGGCGGCGAUUCAAGUCAGAGGUGAAAGCCCGGGGCUCAACCCCGGAACUGCCUUUGAAACUAGAUUGCUAGAAUCCUGGAGAGGCGAGUGGAAUUCCGAGUGUAGAGGUGAAAUUCGUAGAUAUUCGGAAGAACACCAGUGGCGAAGGCGACUCGCUGGACAGGUAUUGACGCUGAGGUGCGGAAGCGUGGGGAGCAAACAGG
This 253-nucleotide ribosomal RNA is filed under the name uncultured bacterium. Its description in RNAcentral is "partial 16S ribosomal RNA". It matches the Rfam family "Bacterial small subunit ribosomal RNA", at positions 524 to 776 of the family's 1533-position model. The record is from RNAcentral.